RNAcentral lists this ribosomal RNA (809 nucleotides) under uncultured bacterium. Its description in RNAcentral is "bacterial SSU rRNA". It matches the Rfam family "Bacterial small subunit ribosomal RNA", at positions 8 to 835 of the family's 1533-position model. The record is from RNAcentral.
AGAGUUUGAUCCUGGCUCAGGAUGAACGCUGGCGGCGUGCUUAACACAUGCAAGUCGAACGUGAGGGCGUAGCAAUAUGCCUGAAAGUGGCGAACGGGUGAGUAACACGUGGGUGACCUGCCUCGGAGUGGGGGAUAACCAUGGGAAACUGUGGCUAAUACCGCAUGUCUUAACGGUCACGGGAGUGACGGUUAAGAAAGCUUUAGUGCUGUGAGAGGGGUCUGCGACCGAUUAGCUAGUUGGCGGGGUAAAGGCUCACCAAGGCGAUGAUCGGUAGCUGGUCUGAGAGGACGAUCAGCCACACGGGAACUGCGACACGGUCCCGACUCCUACGGGGGGCAGCAGUGAGGAAUAUUGGGCAAUGGGCGCAAGCCUGACCCAGCAACGCCGCGUGAAGGACGAAGGCCUUCGGGUUGUAAACUUCUUUUUGGGGGGAAAAGAGAGGAUGGUACCCCCAGAAUAAGUCACGGCUAACUACGUGCCAGCAGCCGCGGUAAUACGUAGGUGACGAGCGUUAUCCGGAAUUAUUGGGCGUAAAGCGCGCGCAGGCGGUCCUUUAAGUCUGAUGUGAAAGCCCACGGCUCAACCGUGGAGGGUCAUUGGAAACUGGGGGACUUGAGUGCAGGAGAGAAGAGUGGAAUUCCACGUGUAGCGGUGAAAUGCGUAGAGAUGUGGAGGAACACCAGUGGCGAAGGCGACUCUUUGGCCUGUAACUGACGCUGAGGCGCGAAAGCGUGGGGAGCAAACAAGAUUAGAUACCCUGGUAGUCCACGCCGUAAACGAUGAGUGCUAAGUGUUAGAGGGGUUCC